CCUCCGGGGCGCAGCAGUGAGGAAUAUUGGUCAAUGGGCGGGAGCCUGAACCAGCCAAGUCGCGUGAGGGAAGCCGGUCCUCUGGCUUGUCCCCCUCUUUUUUCUUUGCGCCCGCCCCGCCUCGUGCCGGCGGCGCGCGAGUACCCGAAGAAACAGCCUCGGCUCCCUCCGUGCCCGCCGCCGCGGUCCUCCGGCGGCUGCGCGCGUUCUCCGGCUUUCUUGGGUUUCCCGGG
RNAcentral lists this ribosomal RNA (233 nucleotides) under uncultured bacterium. RNAcentral describes it as "partial 16S ribosomal RNA". It matches the Rfam family "Bacterial small subunit ribosomal RNA", at positions 338 to 567 of the family's 1533-position model. The record is from RNAcentral.